GAUGAACGCUGGCGGCGUGCCUAAUACAUGCAAGUCGAGCGAACAGAUGAGGAGCUUGCUCCUCUGACGUUAGCGGCGGACGGGUGAGUAACACGUGGAUAACCUACCUAUAAGACUGGGAUAACUUCGGGAAACCGGAGCUAAUACCGGAUAAUAUAUUGAACCGCAUGGUUCAAUAGUGAAAGACGGUUUUGCUGUCACUUAUAGAUGGAUCCGCGCCGCAUUAGCUAGUUGGUAAGGUAACGGCUUACCAAGGCAACGAUGCGUAGCCGACCUGAGAGGGUGAUCGGCCACACUGGAACUGAGAAACGGUCCAGACUCCUACGGGAGGCAGCAGUAGGGAAUCUUCCGCAAUGGGCGAAAGCCUGACGGAGCAACGCCGCGUGAGUGAUGAAGGUCUUCGGAUCGUAAAACUCUGUUAUUAGGAAAGAACAAAUGUGUAAGUAACUAUGCACGUCUUGACGGUACCUAAUCAGAAAGCCACGGCUAACUACGUG
This 497-nucleotide ribosomal RNA is filed under the name uncultured bacterium. RNAcentral describes it as "partial 16S ribosomal RNA". It matches the Rfam family "Bacterial small subunit ribosomal RNA", at positions 28 to 507 of the family's 1533-position model. The record is from RNAcentral.